UGGCUCAGUUGGUAGAGCAUGGUGUUUGCAACGCCAGCGUCGUGGGUUCGAUUCCCAC
Molecule: non-coding RNA, 58 nt
Organism: Salmo salar (Atlantic salmon)
Lineage: Eukaryota; Metazoa; Chordata; Actinopteri; Salmoniformes; Salmonidae
Source: Rfam